Pelobates cultripes (western spadefoot toad) is the source of this 231-nucleotide non-coding RNA. Lineage: Eukaryota; Metazoa; Chordata; Amphibia; Anura; Pelobatidae. The record is from the annotation of a GenBank genome assembly.
GAAUUGACAACUCCCCUUUAAGUUAUUCACAUUAGAAAUCGAGAGAAAUGUCAGCAAACACAUUCUAAACAUGCUCAAUUUUUCUCUCUCCUUAAGCCUUUCUAACUUCCCUGUUAAACCACCAGGGUUUCCAGACCCACCAAGUUUCCUUGGACAAAUAUUUUAUCUCAUGCUGAAGGACAGCAUAUGAAAAAUGAUGCCCUGCAGUACAUAGAAUUCAUAAGCUGUAAG